GGCGACGUCACUGGGGCCUUAUGGUACUUGCAGCUGGGCAGUCUUCUCCUCAGCGUGUAGCCUGGUAACCACGACUUCUCCGCCAGGUCCUGUGUGUUGCUGGCUGGAGAAGGGUAGUUGAAAACUCAGACCAAGCACAGUGUUUAUGUUGGUCAAAACUAGAAGACUAUGUCCGGGCGCGGCCGAGGCUGGAGGAUCCCUUCAGGCCAAGAGCAACCUAGCAAUAUGGCGCGACCGGAUCUCUGUAGUCCUACCUCAGCCCCCCAGCUGCUUGAACCCCAAGGUUCGAGGCUCCAAUGAGCUAUGAUCCCACCACAGCAUUGCAGCCUGCCAGACUGAGAAAUGGGGUUUCACCAUGUUGGCAAGGCUGGUCUCGAAUUCCUGACCUCAAGUGACCCACCCACCUCAGCCUCCCAAAGUGCUGGGAUUACAGGCAUGAGCCACCAUGCCCAGCCCCUUCAGGCUGGAGUUGCAAUCUCGGCUCACCACUACCUCUGCCUCCCAGAUUCAAGAGAUUCUCCUGCCUCAGCCUCCCAAGUAGCUGGAAGUACAGACAUGAACUUAUGAAUUCAACACAUGAAGACUUACAACUUGAUAAACCAGCUUUAGGAGAUGGUAAUUUUCAGAAACUACAAAAGGUGUCAAGAUCCAUAAUUUGCUUCAUCAAACGCUUUUCUAGCUCGUUUCAACUCUUCAUUCAUCGUAAGCAAGUCUUUCACCCUGGCAAACUUCCUUGGGUCCUUGAGAAUCAAGAAGACGAUAUCUUCAACCUGUACUCGACCUUGUCUUCCAACUGACAUUGCCUUGUGAGUCAUUUCAGUGAGAAACUUUACGACAAGAUCUUCAAGAAUAUCCACUGACUCUGUAUAAGGAUUCUGGUCAUCCCCAAAGCCAUACAUCAUACAUCGCAAUUCUUUAGAAAAAAGUCUCCUUCUUUUACCCUGUCCACCUUCUGCACCUCCUCCAGUUUCUUCAUUUCCUUCCUCAAAGGUGGGGUCUUCUUCCUCGUCUGCCAUCCCACUGGCCCACCAACCCACAGCCGAGAAACUUUCAGAGAUGUUGGCUGCUAUGUUUCUGGCGAGGCUUAGUUUAGCCACCGCUGGACACAGCUCCCUGCCUCCCCUUCCCACACACAAACACACACACUGGUUUUUCUCACUUCCACAAUAUGGAGAAACUUGUGGAUGGAGAGUGUAUUAGUUUUAGAUCAAUGCAGAAUAAAUGCUCACAAAUCUUGGAUAUGGAAAACAAACCCCAGCUCAGAGGUCAGAAGUUCUACUGGGCCAAGUGACUGCCUCCUGCUCAGAGUCACAUGAGGGACCUCCAGGAUUGGUCUGUCUGUGUGGUCGUUGCCUUCACCUGAGAAGGGUCUGGCUUCGAUCUGAUUCGAGUUGGUGGCAGAAUUCAAUGCCUCAGGUAUGUGAAACCCAGACCCACUUGUUUGUUCUGCCAGCUGCCGGGAGGACGCUCUGAGCUCUUACAGGUGUUGCCCAGGUCUGGGCCGUGCAGCUCCCUGGGUCUGCACAUCCAGGGCUGAGGAAUCACCCACAGGGGAGUGGAAUCUCAGGGAGGUUCAGUCCCUUAUAAAGAGCUCAGAUGAUUCUAUUAGACCCAGCCCUUAACAGCUAUUGUUUCCGGGUAUUCCUUAUCUAAUCCGGGGUUUGGGCGGGCUCCUCAAUUCAAGGUUCUGCCCACACCCAAGGGAGGGGCAGAGGCAGGGCUAGGCUCUGGGGGUGUGGGGGGGGUCCGGAAAUGCCGGGGGCAUUUCAGAAUUCUGGAUUCCUCACAGAAUCGCAAAGUUCACAUUUCACGACAAUAAAGAAAACGUUGAGAGUAAAAGUGAGACCUUUUAUGAAGUUGCACAUUAGAAAACUUAAACGUCUGAGAAAAACAUCUCUAACUCAUAGGGAAACAAGUGGUAUAUCAGGUACUCUGAAAAUAGACUGGGCUCGGUGAGGGGAAUAUGAAAAUAUUAUUUCAAUUGUAUCGUAUUGUAUUGCAUUUUAUUUAUUUAUUUUUGAGACAGAGUCUCGCUCUGUCCCCCAGGCUGGAUUGCAGUGGCCUGAUGUCAGCUCACUGCAGCCUUUGCCUCCUGGGCCCGAGCAACUCUCCUGACUCAGCCUCCAGAGUAGCUGGGACUAACUGUGUGCGCCACCACGCCAGAGUAAAAUUGUAUUUCUUAAAGCAGAGAGGAGGUUUCAUCAUUUUGGCCAGGCAAAGCCGCAGCCUGGUAGGCGCCACGAAGACGCUGGCCACUGCAGCCGCCGGCAAAAGGGCGCCGCCUACAGGAGGGAUCAAGAAGCCUCACGGCUACUGGCCUGGCACUGCGCAAAAUCAGAAAAUAGCAAAAGGCACGCAGCUGGACCUCCUCAAGCUGCCCUUCCAGCGCCUGAUGCGCAGCAUCGCGCAGGACAUCAUCGUGGACGUGCGCUUCCAGAGCACGGCCACAGGCGCCCUACAGGAGCCCAGUGAGGCUUCCCUGGUGCACCUCUUUGAAGACACCUGGCUGUGUGCCAUUCAUAAAAGCCCUGCCCUCUUCUCCCCCAUAUAUGUGUAUUAGCGCUCUGCUUUGUACCCUCUUCCAGAGGAAACACAAAUCCAUCAAUUGAUCAUUUAAGCCUUUCUAGCUUGGAUACAACUUCUCGUGUAGUUGUAUUUGAAAGCUCUGUACUUUAUACUUCUAGAGACUAGACCCUAGACAGAAUCUGCUUGGAAUAGUGGAGCUAGCUAGAUUCAACUUUAUUUAGGCAUACGCUAAUUACUUGUGAGGGCAAAGGCAGGCAGUGAGGUUGUUAAGCUUACCCCCAAAUAGUAAAUUUUGGAAAAUAGUCAAGUACAGUCACUUUAUUUGUUAGAUAUCUUGUCACCACCUUACCAGCACCAGACCACAUUUUUCUAGGCAGUCUCCAAAUGUACAUUAUGAGAUAGACUUUAAGAAUAGUAAUGAAGCUCCAGGAAAAACCUCAUUGCCGUUAACGUGUAAUACAACCAGCCGUGGAAGCAGUCAAAGCUUUCUCCUGAAAAGAUAACACUUUCUACAGAUUUCUUUCCUGAGAGCUGUGGCUAUGUGAUAUUAUAUAUUGAGAAGCUUUCAUAUGCGAUUUUUAUAGUUAGGAAACAACAGAUGCUGGCAACACCCAAAGCAUGUGGGACUUAUAGCCUAGAUGUUGGGUUGAUUGGUGCAGCAAACCCCUAUGGCACAUGUGUACCUCUGUAACAAACCUGCACUUUCUGCACAAGUAUCCCAUAGCUUAAAGAAAAAAAAAAUUGCUUAGAGGCACUGAACCCACUCAGCUAAUCCAGUUUUCCUCUCUGAGAAAACAACGCUGUGUUCCUGCUCCUGAGCUGACCUCUGAGACCUUGAUGGGCUUUUGACUGAAAUGUUUUAAGAUGAAAUGAUGAUUCUCCCAUGAUCAGGGGCAGUAUAUGGGGGUUACUCACUUCCUGCUCUCUGAGUUGAAGCAAGGCAGAUGUCUGCAGACUCAAACUGAUAAAUCUAUUCAUUGCUUUCUUUUC
Symphalangus syndactylus (siamang) is the source of this 3516-nucleotide RNA transcript. It is a transcript of the gene named histone H3.Y-like, with no coding region annotated. NCBI's taxonomy places the organism in Eukaryota, Metazoa, Chordata, Mammalia, Primates, Hylobatidae. The record is from RefSeq and is a predicted model, not a curated record.